UUUCCGUAGGUGAACCUGCGGAAGGAUCAUUAAAGAGAUCAUGCCCUCACGGGUAGACCUCCUACCCUUUGUUUACAAUACCGUUGUUGCCUUGGCGGGCCCGUUUGGCCCCGCGCUGAACAACCGGCCCCGGCUGGUCAGUGCCCGCCAGAGAACCGAAAACUCUGAAUUAAAUGUCGUCUGAGUACUAUGUAAUAGUUAAAACUUUCAACAACGGAUCUCUUGGUUCUG
RNAcentral lists this unclassified non-coding RNA (231 nucleotides) under plant metagenome. RNAcentral describes it as "partial contains small subunit ribosomal RNA, internal transcribed spacer 1, and 5.8S ribosomal RNA". The record is from RNAcentral.